GGGCUCUCAGGGGCAGGGGGAAUUGCAGAGGUGAUUUUUAAAAUUUAUUUAUUUUUGAAAGUUCCAUUUAUUACACGAGAAAGAGAAAAAAAUCUUCCAUAUCUGCUGCAUUUUCCCCACCAACAGUUUGGUGGGGAAAUACUGUAUCAGUAUUUUUCUCUGAGCAUUUUGAAGGCCUAGUUUAGGAUGCUGCUCUAAUAAGAACUGGGCACCAGCUCAAUUAUGCAGCUGUCUCACUGGCUUUGCACUUCCAAGCUGUGCUUUAGACAGCUGAACUUCAUCAGGGGAGUCACACAAAGGGUUCUUACAGCAUGAAACGCAGCGAGGCAAUCAAAGGUAGCUACUGCUGAGUUCGAAGUGAUAACACAACCUCAGCUGGCCACUCUUGUGCAGGAGGCAUCUUUAAUAUACACCUCCCUCCACGUUUAUCCCCAGGGAAAGCCUGCUUGACCUCCACUUACCCGAAAUGAGAAGCAGAAGUUUGCGAGGAGCUGGGGCUAUCCUAGAGGCCAAUAUUCAGGCGAAGUCCUCAAAGUGCUGCUGUCCUGCUCCCCACAGACAGACUCAUUUGCUGGUGAGUUUUGGCAGUUCAGCGUGUGUUCCCGGUGCAAAUCCUUAGUGUGCGGACAGAUAACUGAAAACCAGCCCCAGCACGCAUGCCAAGAGACCCAGGAUACAGCUCUCAGAAGGAAAAUAAACAGGUCAGUAAAAGAACUGAAGUUCAUGACGAGGGCAACAUCUCUGUCCGCAGCUCUUUCUCCUCACAAAAAUCCCACAUUUUAUUUUCUGAAUCUGCUUCUGCUUCAGUAACCCAGUAAUUCUCUGAAAUAUUCAGAGCAAGAGGGAAUGUGCUGGUGUCACGUUCUUUGUCAACAGCUGUAAAGUUGAUGCGAUCCAAGUACUCUUUGGUGGUGAUGCCAGAUACUGCUUGCCUGAAUAGGAACACCAAGCCCUUCCUAAGAAUUUUUUUGAAGAGGUUAUUAAGCAUCUCGUUUUGGCAUGGCUCUCAGAGCUGUUUGACCUGAUUUAUUUUUUUUAUUAUUUUUUUUUUUUACUGCCUGUUGAAAAGAAAGCAAUACUGCAAAUACUUCCCAUCAGAAAACGACAACAAGCAACUUAUCAUAACUGCAAGAAAGCUAACAACAUUUCCACCCAGUGAUUUUUGGCACUGACAGCUGACUCAGAACAGUUGUUGGUGGCUGGGACAGAUGGACUUCAUGUAUAU
Molecule: long non-coding RNA, 1225 nt
Filed under: Anas platyrhynchos (mallard)
Lineage: Eukaryota; Metazoa; Chordata; Aves; Anseriformes; Anatidae
Description: lncRNA (ENSAPLG00020013049.1)
Source: RNAcentral